This 402-nucleotide long non-coding RNA is filed under the name Panax ginseng (ginseng). Its description in RNAcentral is "long non-coding RNA (PGIN_LNC006543)". Lineage: Eukaryota; Viridiplantae; Streptophyta; Magnoliopsida; Apiales; Araliaceae. The record is from RNAcentral.
UAAAACAAGCGCUUAUUGGGAGGCAACCCAAGUUUAAUUUUUAUUUUUAGUUUUUAUUAAGUUUUAUAUUAGUAGUUUUGAAUUUGCAUUUAUUUAGGAUUUAAUAAAAUUGCUUCUAUCAUGGUUUUACAGGUUAUUCAAGUCAAAUUCAAGUGUGGUGCCCAAUUUGUUCCAUGUGCUUAGCCUAUUCUCCAAACUUAGCGGGCAAGGAGGAAGAUUGCUAUAUUUUCAGGGAAGUCCUCUGCUUUAAUUUUUUCUAUUGUAGCCAUUGAGGACAAUGUCUAGUUUAAGUUUGGGGGCAUUUUAGUGUCGUAUUGCAUAUAGUUAGUUAUUUACAUUGUAGUUCGUUAUGUUUUUGGGUUAUUUACAUUUAGUUUUUGCAUUCAGUUUUUUUGUUAAAAA